This 70-nucleotide transfer RNA is filed under the name uncultured Agathobacter sp. It matches the Rfam family "tRNA". From Rfam's summary of the family: Transfer RNA (tRNA) molecules are approximately 80 nucleotides in length. Their secondary structure includes four short double-helical elements and three loops (D, anti-codon, and T loops). The record is from RNAcentral. Lineage: Bacteria; Bacillati; Bacillota; Clostridia; Lachnospirales; Lachnospiraceae.
CCGAUAUGGCUCAGUAGGUAGAGCGUCUCACUCGUAAUGAGAAGGUCAGGGGUUCGAAUCCCCUUAUCGG